CAUUUCUAUUCACAGCCAAAAAAGCUUCUCUGAUGAGUAGAACUUUUUUUUUUUUUUAAAGAAAACAUCAACCUGGUAGGCAGAUGUUUCGUGUUAGAGAUACAGCUGUUUGCUUUGAUUCAGGCUUCUACCAAAACUGCUGCUCAAACUCCCACACCAGUUGGCAGUCAACUCAACAAACAGGAAGGAGCAAGAGGCUGAAUCAGAUCAUAGAACAAAUAAAUGAAUUCAUGUGAGUCUUAACACCUCAAUGAUAUUGUUCCCACCUUCCUGUGCAAAGGUAUGGACAUCUUAAAAUAAGGAGGCCAUGGAGUAGGUAGAAAAAAAAGGGGCCCAAACAUUCCCAGAAGUGAACCUCAGGUGGACCGAAAAUGCUACAAGUUUGUGUUGUUCUCUCCUACAAAAAGCCUCAGCACAAAGCGUGCUGAAGAAAAAACUUUACAAGCACAAUAAACAGAACUCAGACUCUGCUAUCAACUCAGAUUCGGGCAUGCCUGCAUGGGAUCCCAAACCAUGAAAACAGCAUGGACGCUGGCUGGAAUGCCUGCAUCACACACAGAUGUCCACAAGAAAGGGCUUGUUCUCUUAUGGGACCAUCUGCAAUCAGGCUUCUGAUCAGCUGCAUACGUCUGACACAAAAACUAAUUGCAUUACUAAACUUGUGAUUUCUGCCCAAACAAGUUUGGGGUGGACACAUCACAGGGACUCUGAACUCCCUGCCCACUCCUGGCAGGUUGGACUCUUGACCCACUUUGGAAUUAUGUCUCUUGCCACUGUCGGCUGAUUAUUUUAUUUGGCUUUCCUGGUUACUUGUAGCUCACAACACCUGUCUCUCCUGGUAUACACACUUCAGAAAAGCAAGUUGAUCUGUGUAAACCCAUUUUGAAUUUUUUUUAAAUUCAGGAUUUUGUCCUAAUUUCUGAACACGGCAUGUCUUUUCACUUAAAUUGCUUAAUAAUGUUUUCCUGUGACAAUGAGUUUAUUCCUCUUGCAGAUGAUCCUUCCUGACAACAUGUUUGAAUAAAAGCAGAGUAUGAUUUCAAAAAUAUAGAGUUAUGAUUGCUGAAAAGGACACACCGAUUUUGCAAUAAGAAAAACAAAAUCCUAGUGACUGGAAGGUACAGGAAGGGGGAAGGCAU
Long non-coding RNA from Callithrix jacchus (white-tufted-ear marmoset), 1139 nucleotides. RefSeq lists it as uncharacterized. The record is from RefSeq and is a predicted model, not a curated record. Lineage: Eukaryota; Metazoa; Chordata; Mammalia; Primates; Cebidae.